This 311-nucleotide long non-coding RNA is filed under the name Homo sapiens (human). Its description in RNAcentral is "HSALNT0031618". Lineage: Eukaryota; Metazoa; Chordata; Mammalia; Primates; Hominidae. The record is from RNAcentral.
AAUGUUCUUCACUACAGGAAAACUCAACAUAGAAGCUCAUGUUCUGGGGACUCAAAUAACAGUCGUAAUACAUGAAAACUGUAAAGGAUAUUCUGCAUAAAGGGUCGUUAACAUCUCACAGGCCAAAUAGCCCUCUCAGAAACAACUAGGAAAGGAAAAAGUUCCCUUGGAGCUGUGCGUUUGCGUAUGUCCGUGUGUGUAUACAACUGAGGGAGAACGAAUACGAGAGAGGGAACUCGAGUCUGAAGUACUGUGGUGUGGGCAGGGUGACAUGUAAUACUGAAGGAAAGAAGUCUGCUGGUGAAGUAAGA